Eurytemora carolleeae is the source of this 1929-nucleotide long non-coding RNA. RefSeq lists it as uncharacterized. The record is from RefSeq and is a predicted model, not a curated record. The transcript has 2 exons. NCBI's taxonomy places the organism in Eukaryota, Metazoa, Arthropoda, Copepoda, Calanoida, Temoridae.
GGAUGUAGGGAGUAUGAGGGGAGUUCUAGGGAAAGGAUGUAUUGUGGGAAGAGAAGGACAAGUUCUGCUAAUCACAAGAUCUACAAGAUCUUCUUUCUCGAGUACUACAACCAACUCAUCCACUUCCACGCAUGCAGGACUACCCUUAAUUCUUCGAUACCCUAGACUCGAAGCUACAUGCUGAACUAUACCCUUGACUCGAGGCUACAUGCUAUACUAUAAUCUAAACUCGAGGCUACAUGCUGAAACAUAGCCUAUACAAACAAAGGCUACAUGCUGAACUAUGCCCUAGACUCGAGGAUACAUGCUGAAUUAUAUUCUAGACUUGAGACUACAUGUUAAACUAUAUCCUUGACUCGAGGCUACAUGCUAAACUAUAUCUUUGAAUCGAGGCUACGUGCUGAGCUAUAUUCUAAACAAGAGGCUACAUGCUGAACUAUAUUCUAGACUAGAGGCUACAUGCUGAACUAUAUCCUAGACUCGAGGCUACAUGCUGAAUUAUAUCCUAGACUCGAGGCUACAAGCUGAAUUAUAUACUAGACUUGAGGCUACAUGCUGAAAAUUACAUAUUGUUUAUCCUAGACUCGAGUCUAAGAUCUGAACUAUAUUCUAGACUCGAGGCUAAAUGUUGAAGUAACCAAUUCCUAAUCCUAGACUCAAGUUACAUACUGAAUUUUAUCAAAUCCAAUUAUGAAAACCAAAUCCUGCAAGUUUAGAUUAUUUGUAAAUUUGUUUACUUAUUUUAUACACACACAUAUAUAUAUAUAUGCACUUUAGAACAGUUUACAAUAUCAAUGUACAAUACAAACAUAUACUCUAAAUGUGAAUUGUAAAAAUAUAGUUUUGACAACUAGUUAAUGAUUUUUAAUAAUGUGUACAUUUAUAUAAGUAUAGUUAAUUCCGACAAAUUGAUGUCAUUAAUUAAUUAAAAUAACAGAUAUAGGACACUAGAUGUCGUCUUUUCAAGAUUUAUAAGUAUUUCAUUCGCAAUAACCCUAAGAAAAAAGACCAAAGGAGUUACGCGUAGUCGGCGUAGAAUAGGCUCUUUCUCUGUCUUUUUAAAAAUCACAAUAAUACAGUUACAGAUAAACAAUACUUGAGUAGAAAAUUAUAGAACAUUAUCAAUGUGUCUCUUUAAUUGAUGGCUUUGUUUGUCUAAAAUUUUCUCAUGUUUUAUUCUAACCCGACACAUAGAAUUCCUUCUGUUACUCCUGUUACUUUUGUCAUACUGUACUGUACAGUGUACGUGCAUUGUAUAUGUAUUUAUGUAAAUGAGAAUAGUUAUAUUACUCUUAGAUAUGAUAAUUUGAUUUGUACAUACAUAUAUAAUAUAUAUGUGUUAUCCAGGGUUACUUAUAAAGAAUGAGACUUAAAAGACGACUUUGCAGAUUUUCUGUUAACAUGGUUGAAAGCUAAGGUUUGCAGCAAAAAAGAAAAAUCAUAUCGCGAAAAUUUUCGCAUUUUUUGCAUAUCGCUCGCGAAAAAUGCGAAAAUGCUCGUUUUUUUCGCAAAGUUUCGCUUCAAUCUGUAUGCGAAAAAAUUAUAAGAAAUUACAAAAAAGGGGCUUCGUUUUUGCAUUUUUCGCUUCAUGUAAUUUCGCGAAAAAAUGCGAAAUUUCGCGAAAAAAUUUGCGAAAUGCGAACGAAAUUUUUUUCCAUUUUUUUCCAUUUUGUUCGCUGCAAACCCUACUGAAACCCCAAAUAAAACUGUACACUUUUUACCCCGCAUCAAUUAUUACAAAUAUUUCAGAUUAUGUUUAAAUUAAAUUAAUUAAUUAUUUAACAUUAAAGUCUCAUUCUUUGUGGGUGACCCUGCAAUGCAGUGUAUACUCACCAAAAGAACCUUGCACUCGACAGCACUUUAGAUAAUUGUAAAUUGUAACCAUGUUUUAAAUAAAUGCAUUUCUAUUGAAAUAUAUCAAAAAUUUGA